UUAGGCCGGGAACUCAAAGGAGACUGCCAGUGAUAAACUGGAGGAAGGUGGGGAUGACGUCAAGUCAUCAUGGCCCUUACGACCAGGGCUACACACGUGCUACAAUGGCGCAUACAAAGAGAAGCGACCUCGCGAGAGCAAGCGGACCUCAUAAAGUGCGUCGUAGUCCGGAUUGGAGUCUGCAACUCGACUCCAUGAAGUCGGAAUCGCUAGUAAUCGUGGAUCAGAAUGCCACGGUGAAUACGUUCCCGGGCCUUGUACACACCGCCCGUCACACCAUGGGAGUGGGUUGCAAAAGAAGUAGGUAGCUUAACCUUCGGGAGGGCGCUUACCACUUUGUGAUUCAUGACUGGGGUGAAGUCGUAACAAGGUAACCGUAGGGGAACCUGCGGUUGGAUCACCUCCUUACCUUAAAGAAGC
This 420-nucleotide ribosomal RNA is filed under the name Salmonella enterica. RNAcentral describes it as "bacterial SSU rRNA". It matches the Rfam family "Bacterial small subunit ribosomal RNA", at positions 1126 to 1533 of the family's 1533-position model. Lineage: Bacteria; Pseudomonadati; Pseudomonadota; Gammaproteobacteria; Enterobacterales; Enterobacteriaceae. RNAcentral also lists the same sequence under 7 other names. The record is from RNAcentral.